This 1479-nucleotide long non-coding RNA is filed under the name Sus scrofa (pig). Its description in RNAcentral is "lncRNA (ENSSSCG00015074573.1)". Lineage: Eukaryota; Metazoa; Chordata; Mammalia; Artiodactyla; Suidae. The record is from RNAcentral.
AGGAUGGAUCUGGCCCCUGGCUGCAGGGGGGCACCCCUCCACGGGAGAAACCCGGCUCCCGGCCGCAGCCUGCAGCUCUGCAACUUGUGUCUUUCCAUUCCUGCUCCACGGAGAGCUCCUCAAACUGAAACAGUGUUUUUAAACCCCGCCGCUGAAACCACUGCGGGCCACCAAGCCAAGCCUCGGCGCCCACUCCUCCCGGGAGCCCGAGGCCCCCCUGACCUUAGCCACGUCACCCCCACUCGUCAGUACCUGACAGGGCAAGUGCGGCCGCGCAUCUGAACCCACUCCCCCCACCCCAACGGAUGACAAUUCCGAAGACAGCCGGAUUCAACAGUGCGUCUGAACAAAGAAAACGGCGCUGAAGUGCGCUGUACACGCGUGAUGUGCUCCGCAGGGCACCAGCCGCCAGUGGGGACUGCGAGUUCGCUGCUCUCGGCAUCCUCACCCUCACGCUGUCAUCACCACCCGCAUCGGCACCCCGCGUCACGGCCCUCCCCACAGCUGGCCAUCCCCGGUGCCCCAUCGGCCCCGGCCAGCACGGAGCCCAAGGGCCCCGGUCGGGGUCUGGUGCCUCCUAGAGAGCGUCCCAUGAGCCCACCCUCCUGCCUCCUCGGCAGAGGGGCGAGGGAGCCCCCGCGAGCAGGGCGGCUCUCUCCGCCGGGAGCCCGAAUCCCCCAGACCCAGAACAGAGGCCAGAGGUCGCGGGCACCGGAAGCAGAACGUCUUUAGGAUGGGACUCUCCUCCUCGAGUGACCGCUUUUGUUUCAGAACAGUCGGUCUGCAGCCCUUCUUUCUCUGAACCGGCCGCGUCCUCUCCAAGCGGAGCCUGAUCACUCCUGUUGGAGAAACAGCGCGCGCUCCGGGCGGGGGCCGGGUCCCGGAGAAGUGUGGGUGUCGGGGACGCGCCUGCAAGCCCGCCCCGGCCCUCACCGCGCCGGGCUUGCUGCCCGCCCUUGACGUCCCGGAGCAGAGACAGAGGACCCUCCCCGGGUGCACCGUCCUGUGAGAGGCGAAGCUGGACGGGAUGGCAGUGCUCCUGCGAAGCCCCGUGAGACUGCGCAGCACUGCCUCCUGCAUCCGGAGACAAAGCACCUUGCAGGCAUCGAGCUGGAGCGUCACGGCCCACCGUGAACCUGGGGGACUCAGGGUGGAAACCUCAUGCCCACCACGAAGGGGGUUGGGAGGAGGAGGGCAGCCGCCGGCCCGGAGCGCGGGGGCGCGCCAAAGAGACGGUUGCAGUGCGGCCAGACCUCGCGUCUCCCCACGCAGACGAGUGCGCAGCACCGUCGCCUGCAUGUCUGAUUUUCUCGAAUUAGCAGUGAUUUUUUGAUGUUCUGACUUCCUGGUCUUUGUUGCCAAAAACUCCUGUACAUCCUGGCUCCCCACUUGCCUCUCAGGCGCGGUCUCUCAGAUGGACCUGAGAUGCCGUGUCCUGGGCUCAAAGCCUGUUUUGUCCCCCAAAUAAAACAAAGAUCU